AGGCUGCCACAUAAGUCAGGGGUGAAAGUCGGUUGCUCAACAAUCGAUUGGCCUUUGAAACUGUGUGGCUCGAAUAUAGAUGAGGUAGGCGGAAUGUGUAGUGUACCGGUGAAAUGCAUAGAUAUUACACAGAACACCAAUUGCGAAGGCAGCUUACCAAACUAUUAUUGACGCUGAAGCACGAAAGCGUGGGUAGCGAACAGGAUUAGAUACCCUGGUAGUCCACGCCGUAAACUAUGCUCACUCGCUGUUGGCAAUACAUGGUCAGCGGCUAAGGGAAACCGAUAAGUGAGCCACCUGGGGAGUACGAUCGCAAGAUUGAAACUCAAAGGAAUUGACGGGGGCCCGCACAAGCGGAGGAACAUGUGGUUUAAUUCGAUGAUACGCGAGGAACCUUACCUGGGCUUAAAUGUAGAGUGCAUUACGUAGAAAUAUGUAUUUCCUUCGGGACUCUUUACAAGGUGCUGCAUGGUUGUCGUCAGCUCGUGCCGUGAGGUGUCGGGUUAAGUCCCAUAACGAGCGCAACCCCUAUUGUUAGUUACCAGCGCGUAAAGGCGGGGACUCUAGCGAAACUGCCGGUGUAAACCGCGAGGAAGGUGGGGAUGACGUCAAAUCAGCACGGCCCUUGUGUCCAGGGCUACACACGUGUUACAAUGGCCGGUACAGUGGGCAGCCACAUAGCGAUAUGGAGCUAAUCUCAAAAGCCGGUCUCAGUUCGGAUUGGAGUCUGCAACCCGACUCCAUGAAGGUGGAUUCGCUAGUAAUCGCGCAUCAGCCAUGGCGCGGUGAUACGUUCCCGGGCCUUGUACACACCGCCCGUCAAGCCAUGGAAGUUUGGGGUGCCUGAAGUUCGUAACCGCAAGGAGCGACCUAGGGUAAACAAAUGACUGGGGCUAAGUCGUAACAAG
RNAcentral lists this ribosomal RNA (908 nucleotides) under uncultured organism. RNAcentral describes it as "bacterial SSU rRNA". It matches the Rfam family "Bacterial small subunit ribosomal RNA", at positions 573 to 1495 of the family's 1533-position model. The record is from RNAcentral.